Misgurnus anguillicaudatus (oriental weatherfish) is the source of this 139-nucleotide small nucleolar RNA. RefSeq annotates it as small nucleolar RNA SNORA17. NCBI's taxonomy places the organism in Eukaryota, Metazoa, Chordata, Actinopteri, Cypriniformes, Cobitidae. The record is from RefSeq and is a predicted model, not a curated record.
UUCGCCCCUUGAGGCGUUGCAGUGCGACUGAUUGUGUCGUUGCUGUGUCAUAAGGUGGCGUAGAGUAAAGGAUUAUGUCUAUACUCUGCACCCCUUAAAUCAAAUGAUGGGUGCCUAGUGUCAUUUAUAGUCCUACAAA